Molecule: ribosomal RNA, 83 nt
Filed under: Flavobacteriaceae bacterium
Lineage: Bacteria; Pseudomonadati; Bacteroidota; Flavobacteriia; Flavobacteriales; Flavobacteriaceae
Description: partial 16S ribosomal RNA
Rfam family: Bacterial small subunit ribosomal RNA
Source: RNAcentral
AUAACGAUGAAGAGUUUGAUCCUGGCUCAGGAUGAACGCUAGCGGCAGGCCUAACACAUGCAAGUCGAGGGGUAACAUAGAAA